UGUGAACGCUGGCGGUAGGCCUAACACAUGCAAGUCGAACGGCAGCACAGUAAGAGCUUGCUCUUACGGGUGGCGAGUGGCGGACGGGUGAGGAAUACAUCGGAAUCUACUUUUUCGUGGGGGAUAACGUAGGGAAACUUACGCUAAUACCGCAUACGACCUACGGGUGAAAGCAGGGGAUCUUCGGACCUUGCGCGAUUGAAUGAGCCGAUGUCGGAUUAGCUAGUUGGCGGGGUAAAGGCCCACCAAGGCGACGAUCCGUAGCUGGUCUGAGAGGAUGAUCAGCCACACUGGAACUGAGACACGGUCCAGACUCCUACGGGAGGCAGCAGUGGGGAAUAUUGGACAAUGGGCGCAAGCCUGAUCCAGCCAUACCGCGUGGGUGAAGAAGGCCUUCGGGUUGUAAAGCCCUUUUGUUGGGAAAGAAAAGCAGCAGGUUAAUACCCCGCUGUUCUGACGGUACCCAAAGAAUAAGCACCGGCUAACUUCGUG
Molecule: ribosomal RNA, 492 nt
Filed under: uncultured bacterium
Lineage: Bacteria
Description: partial 16S ribosomal RNA
Rfam family: Bacterial small subunit ribosomal RNA
Source: RNAcentral